AAAUUGAAGAGUUUGAUCAUGGCUCAGAUUGAACGCUGGCGGCAGGCCUAACACAUGCAAGUCGAACGGUAACAGGAAACAGCUUGCUGUUUCGCUGACGAGUGGCGGACGGGUGAGUAAUGUCUGGGAAACUGCCUGAUGGAGGGGGAUAACUACUGGAAACGGUAGCUAAUACCGCAUAACGUCGCAAGACCAAAGAGGGGGACCUUCGGGCCUCUUGCCAUCGGAUGUGCCCAGAUGGGAUUAGCUAGUAGGUGGGGUAACGGCUCACCUAGGCGACGAUCCCUAGCUGGUCUGAGAG
RNAcentral lists this ribosomal RNA (301 nucleotides) under Escherichia coli. Its description in RNAcentral is "partial 16S ribosomal RNA". It matches the Rfam family "Bacterial small subunit ribosomal RNA", at positions 1 to 298 of the family's 1533-position model. Lineage: Bacteria; Pseudomonadati; Pseudomonadota; Gammaproteobacteria; Enterobacterales; Enterobacteriaceae. The record is from RNAcentral. RNAcentral also lists the same sequence under 2 other names.